AUUUAUAUAGUAUAAAAAAAAUUACUCUUAACUUCCAAUUAAAAAAUUUAAUAUUUAUUAUUAAUAUAAAUA
Molecule: transfer RNA, 72 nt
Filed under: Stenamma diecki
Lineage: Eukaryota; Metazoa; Arthropoda; Insecta; Hymenoptera; Formicidae
Description: tRNA-Gly
Source: RNAcentral